Molecule: ribosomal RNA, 745 nt
Filed under: uncultured Glomus
Lineage: Eukaryota; Fungi; Glomeromycota; Glomeromycetes; Glomerales; Glomeraceae
Description: eukaryotic LSU rRNA
Rfam family: Eukaryotic large subunit ribosomal RNA
Source: RNAcentral
CGAUAUCAAUAAGCGGAGGAAAAGAAAAUAACAAUGAUUCCUUCAGUAACUGCGAGUGAAGAAGGAAGAGCUCAAAUUUUAAAUCCGUUAGGUUUUACCUGACCGAGUUGUAAUUUGAAGAGGCGUUUUCUGAGGUUCUGAUCAGUCCAAGUCCUUUGGGAUAAGGCAUCACGGAGGGUGAGAAUCCCGUUCGGUUGAUCAGAUCUUCUUUACGAUACGUCAUCAAAGAGUCAAGUUGUUUGGGAAUGCAGCUUAAAAUGGGAGGUAAAUUUCUCCUAAGGCUAAAUAACGGCGAGAGACCGAUAGCGAACAAGUACCGUGAGGGAAAGAUGAAAAGAACUUUGAAAAGAGAGUUAAAUAGUACGUGAAAUUGUUGAAAGGGAAACGAUUGAAGCCAGUCGUACCGGCGGGUAAUCAGCCUUUUGGGUGUGAUUAUGUGGAGCGUGAGGAGCUAAUCGCCUUCAUCUUUGCAUAUUCGUGCACUUUGGGUGUACUUGCUCGUGUGGUAGGUUAACAUCAAUUUUGAUUAUCAUAAAAUGAUUGAAGGAAUGUAGCUUCGAUCUCGUAUUGAAGUGUUAUAGCCUUUGGUAGAUGUGAUGAUCGGGAUUGAGGAUUGCAACGGAUACCCUUCGGGGCUACCUGUCUGAUCUCUGCAAGUUGCUCUGGUGCUGAAAGCUUGCUUAUGGUAUCAAAGUUGACGUUCAAUAGGUUAGAACGGGAUAAAUUCGUUAAGGAUGUUGACGUA